GAUUAACGCUGGCGGCGUGCCUAACACAUGCAAGUCGAGCGGGGUGAUGGUGCUUGCACUAUCACUUAGCGGCGGACGGGUGAGUAAUGCUUAGGAAUCUGCCUAUUAGUGGGGGACAACAUCUCGAAAGGGAUGCUAAUACCGCAUACGUCCUACGGGAGAAAGCAGGGGAUCACUUGUGACCUUGCGCUAAUAGAUGAGCCUAAGUCGGAUUAGCUAGUUGGUGGGGUAAAGGCCUACCAAGGCGACGAUCUGUAGCGGGUCUGAGAGGAUGAUCCGCCACACUGGGACUGAGACACGGCCCAGACUCCUACGGGAGGCAGCAGUGGGGAAUAUUGGACAAUGGGGGGAACCCUGAUCCAGCCAUGCCGCGUGUGUGAAGAAGGCCUUAUGGUUGUAAAGCACUUUAAGCGAGGAGGAGGCUCUUUUGGUUAAUACCCAAGAUGAGUGGACGUUACUCGCAGAAUAAGCACCGGCUAACUCUGUGCCAGCAGCCGCCGUAA
RNAcentral lists this ribosomal RNA (503 nucleotides) under uncultured bacterium. Its description in RNAcentral is "partial 16S ribosomal RNA". It matches the Rfam family "Bacterial small subunit ribosomal RNA", at positions 28 to 523 of the family's 1533-position model. The record is from RNAcentral.